CAAUAGCGUAUAUUUAAGUUGUUGCAGUUAAAAAGCUCGUAGUUGGAUUUCGGGUGGGACGCGGCGGUCUCGCAUUGCGUUUGUACUGCUGCAGCCCUCCUUCUUGCCGGGGGCGGCCUCUCGGACUUCACUGUCUGGGGGUCAGAAUCGGCGAUGUUACUUUGAGUAAAUUAGAGUGUUCAAAGCAAGCUUACGCUCUGAAUAUAAUAGCAUGGGAUAACACGACAGGACUCUGGCCUAUCGUGUUGGUCUAUAGGACCAGAGUAAUGAUUAAGAGGGACAGUCGGGGGCAUUCGUAUUCCGUUGUCAGAGGUGAAAUUCUUGGAUUUACGGAAGACGAACAUCUGCGAAAGCAUUUGCCAAGGAUGUUUUCAUUGA
Molecule: ribosomal RNA, 378 nt
Filed under: uncultured eukaryote
Lineage: Eukaryota
Description: partial 18S ribosomal RNA
Rfam family: Eukaryotic small subunit ribosomal RNA
Source: RNAcentral